Molecule: transfer RNA, 83 nt
Filed under: Haramonas pauciplastida
Lineage: Eukaryota; Raphidophyceae
Description: tRNA-Leu
Rfam family: tRNA
About the family: Transfer RNA (tRNA) molecules are approximately 80 nucleotides in length. Their secondary structure includes four short double-helical elements and three loops (D, anti-codon, and T loops).
Source: RNAcentral
GCGGACGUGGCGGAAUUGGUAGACGCACUAGAUUUAGGUUCUAGCAAGGUCAUCUUGUAAGAGUUCAAGUCUCUUCGUCCGUA